CUUCGAUGAAGAGAUGAUGACGAGUCUGACUUGGAAGCCUUAAUCCUUUGCCCAUGAGGCCCUUCUCUGUGCUGCGUUCUGUGGCACAGGUUAGAGUCCUGGUCGAAGAAACUUCCUAAAGAUGACCUAGAGGCAUUUGUCUGAGAAGG
This 149-nucleotide small nucleolar RNA is filed under the name Chinchilla lanigera (long-tailed chinchilla). The record is from RNAcentral. Lineage: Eukaryota; Metazoa; Chordata; Mammalia; Rodentia; Chinchillidae.